Molecule: ribosomal RNA, 406 nt
Filed under: uncultured bacterium
Lineage: Bacteria
Description: partial 16S ribosomal RNA
Rfam family: Bacterial small subunit ribosomal RNA
Source: RNAcentral
AUUGAACGCUGGCGGCAGGCCUAACACAUGCAAGUCGAACGAGUGGCGGACGGGUGAGUAAUGUCUGGGAAACUGCCCGAUGGAGGGGGAUAACUACUGGAAACGGUAGCUAAUACCGCAUACCAUCGGAUGUGCCCAGAUGGGAUUAGCUAGUAGGUGGGGUAACGGCUCACCUGGGCGACGAUCCCUAGCCGGUCUGAGAGGAUGCCGAGCAACACGGGAACUGGGACGCGGUCCAGAUUCCGACGUGAGGCAGCAUUGGGGAUUAUGGCACAGUGGGCGCAAGCCUGUUGCAGCCAUGCCGCGAGACUGAAGAAGACCAUCGGGUUGUAAAGUACUUUCAGCGAGGAGGCGUUACUCGCAGAAGAAGCACCGGCUAACUCCGUGCCAGCAGCCGCGGUAAUAC